GACGAACGCUGGCGGCGUGCUUAACACAUGCAAGUCGAACGGAAAGGCCCUGCUUUUGUGGGGUGCUCGAGUGGCGAACGGGUGAGUAGCACGUGAGUAACCUGCCCUUGACUUUGGGAUAACUUCAGGAAACUGGGGCUAAUACCGGAUAGGAGCUCCUGCUGCAUGGUGGGGGUUGGAAAGUUUCGGCGGUUGGGGAUGGACUCGCGGCUUAUCAGCUUGUUGGUGGGGUAGUGGCUUACCAAGGCUUUGACGGGUAGCCGGCCUGAGAGGGUGACCGGCCACAUUGGGACUGAGAUACGGCCCAGACUCCUACGGGAGGCAGCAGUGGGGAAUAUUGCACAAUGGGUGGAAGCCUGAUGCAGCAACGCCGCGUGCGGGAUGACGGCCUUCGGGUUGUAAACCGCUUUCGCCUGUGACGAAGCGUGAGUGACGGUAAUGGGUAAAGAAGCACCGGCUAACUACGUG
This 468-nucleotide ribosomal RNA is filed under the name uncultured bacterium. Its description in RNAcentral is "partial 16S ribosomal RNA". It matches the Rfam family "Bacterial small subunit ribosomal RNA", at positions 28 to 507 of the family's 1533-position model. The record is from RNAcentral.